RNAcentral lists this unclassified non-coding RNA (489 nucleotides) under uncultured Acaulospora. RNAcentral's name for it is "SSU rRNA". It matches the Rfam family "Eukaryotic small subunit ribosomal RNA", at positions 569 to 1056 of the family's 1831-position model. The record is from RNAcentral. Lineage: Eukaryota; Fungi; Glomeromycota; Glomeromycetes; Diversisporales; Acaulosporaceae.
AGCAGCCGCGGUAAUUCCAGCUCCAAUAGCGUAUAUUAAAGUUGUUGCAGUUAAAAAGCUCGUAGUUGAAUUUCGGGAUUGACGUGAUGGUCGUGCCUUACGGGGUAUGAACUGUUGCAGUCAAUUUCUCACCUUCUGGAGAAAUAUGAUGUCCUUAAUUGGGUGUCAUAUGGAACCAGAACUUUUACCUUGAAAAAAUUAGAGUGUUUAAAGCAGGCUUAUUGCUCGAAUACAUUAGCAUGGAAUAAUAAAAUAGGACGGCAUGGUUCUAUUUUGUUGGUUUCUAGGAUCACCGUAAUGAUUAAUAGGGAUAGUUGGGGGCAUUAGUAUUCAAUUGUCAGAGGUGAAAUUCUUGGAUUUAUUGAAGACUAACUACUGCGAAAGCAUUUGCCAAGGAUGUUUUCAUUAAUCAAGAACGAAAGUUAGGGGAUCGAAGACGAUCAGAUACCGUCGUAGUCUUAACCAUAAACUAUGCCGACUAGGAAUCAG